UACGGAGGGAGCAAGCGUUACUCGGAAUUAUUGGGCGUAAAGGGCGCGUAGGCGAUUUGAAAAGUCUUGUGUGAAAGCCCCGAGCUUAACUCGGGAAGUGCACAAGAAACUGUUGAAUUUGAGUUCCGGAGAGGAAGGCAGAAUUCCCGGUGUAGCGGUGAAAUGCGUAGAUAUCUGGAGGAACACCGGUGGCGAAGGCGGCAUCCUGGACCAACACUGACGCUGAGGAGCGAAAGCCAGGGGAGCAAACGGG
RNAcentral lists this ribosomal RNA (253 nucleotides) under uncultured bacterium. RNAcentral's name for it is "partial 16S ribosomal RNA". It matches the Rfam family "Bacterial small subunit ribosomal RNA", at positions 524 to 776 of the family's 1533-position model. The record is from RNAcentral.